CAGAUACCCAAAUAUGUUCCACUCCAACGAGAGGGAUUUCAUGGUGAAAAACUACCGGGAAGAGUCGCAUAUACCCAAAUAUGUUCCACUCCAAUGAGAGGGAUUUCAUGGUGAAAAACUACCGGGAAGAGUCGCAUAUACCCAAAUAUGUUCCACUCCAACGAGAGGGAUUUCAUGGUGAAAAACUACCGGGAAGAGUCGCAU
This is a long non-coding RNA of Mytilus trossulus (common blue mussel), 204 nucleotides long. RefSeq lists it as uncharacterized. The transcript has 3 exons. The record is from RefSeq and is a predicted model, not a curated record. NCBI's taxonomy places the organism in Eukaryota, Metazoa, Mollusca, Bivalvia, Mytilida, Mytilidae.